This 253-nucleotide ribosomal RNA is filed under the name uncultured bacterium. Its description in RNAcentral is "partial 16S ribosomal RNA". It matches the Rfam family "Bacterial small subunit ribosomal RNA", at positions 524 to 776 of the family's 1533-position model. The record is from RNAcentral.
UACGGAGGGUGCGAGCGUUGUCCGGAAUCACUGGGCGUAAAGGGCGCGUAGGCGGCCUGAUAAGUAGGGGGUGAAAUCCUGCGGCUUAACCGCAGGGCUGCCUUCUAAACUGUCAGGCUCGAGCACAGUAGAGGCAGGUGGAAUUCCUGGUGUAGCGGUGAAAUGCGCAGAUAUCAGGAGGAACACCGGUGGCGAAGGUGGGUCUCUGGGCCGAUACUGACGCUGAGGAGCGAAAGCGUGGGGAGCAAACAGG